This 465-nucleotide ribosomal RNA is filed under the name uncultured bacterium. Its description in RNAcentral is "partial 16S ribosomal RNA". It matches the Rfam family "Bacterial small subunit ribosomal RNA", at positions 28 to 507 of the family's 1533-position model. The record is from RNAcentral.
GAUGAACGCUGGCGGCGUGCUUAACACAUGCAAGUCGAACGGAAAGGCCCUGCUUGCAGGGUACUCGAGUGGCGAACGGGUGAGUAACACGUGGGUGAUCUGCCCUGCACUUCGGGUUAAGCCUGGGAAACUGGGCCUAAUACCGGAUAGGAGCCAUUUUUAGUGUGAUGGUUGGAAAGUUUUUUCGGUGUAGGAUGAGCUGGCGGCCUAUCAGCUUGUUGGUGGGGUAAUGGCCUACCAAGGCGGCGACGUGUAGCCGGCCUGAGAGGGUGGACGGCCACAUUGGGACUGAGGGGCGGCCCAGACUCCUACGGGAGGCAGCAGGGGGGAAUAUUGCACAAUGGGCGCAAGCCUGAUGCAGCAACGCCGCGUGUGGGAUGACGGCCUUCGGGGUGUAAACUCCUUGCGCUAGGGACGAAGCUUUUUGUGACGGUACCUAGAUAAGAAGCACCGGCUAACUACGUG